Molecule: ribosomal RNA, 1539 nt
Filed under: Klebsiella pneumoniae
Lineage: Bacteria; Pseudomonadati; Pseudomonadota; Gammaproteobacteria; Enterobacterales; Enterobacteriaceae
Description: bacterial SSU rRNA
Rfam family: Bacterial small subunit ribosomal RNA
Source: RNAcentral
AAAUUGAAGAGUUUGAUCAUGGCUCAGAUUGAACGCUGGCGGCAGGCCUAACACAUGCAAGUCGAGCGGUAGCACAGAGAGCUUGCUCUCGGGUGACGAGCGGCGGACGGGUGAGUAAUGUCUGGGAAACUGCCUGAUGGAGGGGGAUAACUACUGGAAACGGUAGCUAAUACCGCAUAAUGUCGCAAGACCAAAGUGGGGGACCUUCGGGCCUCAUGCCAUCAGAUGUGCCCAGAUGGGAUUAGCUAGUAGGUGGGGUAACGGCUCACCUAGGCGACGAUCCCUAGCUGGUCUGAGAGGAUGACCAGCCACACUGGAACUGAGACACGGUCCAGACUCCUACGGGAGGCAGCAGUGGGGAAUAUUGCACAAUGGGCGCAAGCCUGAUGCAGCCAUGCCGCGUGUGUGAAGAAGGCCUUCGGGUUGUAAAGCACUUUCAGCGGGGAGGAAGGCGUUAAGGUUAAUAACCUUGGCGAUUGACGUUACCCGCAGAAGAAGCACCGGCUAACUCCGUGCCAGCAGCCGCGGUAAUACGGAGGGUGCAAGCGUUAAUCGGAAUUACUGGGCGUAAAGCGCACGCAGGCGGUCUGUCAAGUCGGAUGUGAAAUCCCCGGGCUUAACCUGGGAACUGCAUUCGAAACUGGCAGGCUAGAGUCUUGUAGAGGGGGUAGAAUUCCAGGUGUAGCGGUGAAAUGCGUAGAGAUCUGGAGGAAUACCGGUGGCGAAGGCGGCCCCCUGGACAAAGACUGACGCUCAGGUGCGAAAGCGUGGGGAGCAAACAGGAUUAGAUACCCUGGUAGUCCACGCCGUAAACGAUGUCGAUUUGGAGGUUGUGCCCUUGAGGCGUGGCUUCCGGAGCUAACGCGUUAAAUCGACCGCCUGGGGAGUACGGCCGCAAGGUUAAAACUCAAAUGAAUUGACGGGGGCCCGCACAAGCGGUGGAGCAUGUGGUUUAAUUCGAUGCAACGCGAAGAACCUUACCUGGUCUUGACAUCCACAGAACUUUCCAGAGAUGGAUUGGUGCCUUCGGGAACUGUGAGACAGGUGCUGCAUGGCUGUCGUCAGCUCGUGUUGUGAAAUGUUGGGUUAAGUCCCGCAACGAGCGCAACCCUUAUCCUUUGUUGCCAGCGGUCCGGCCGGGAACUCAAAGGAGACUGCCAGUGAUAAACUGGAGGAAGGUGGGGAUGACGUCAAGUCAUCAUGGCCCUUACGACCAGGGCUACACACGUGCUACAAUGGCAUAUACAAAGAGAAGCGACCUCGCGAGAGCAAGCGGACCUCAUAAAGUAUGUCGUAGUCCGGAUUGGAGUCUGCAACUCGACUCCAUGAAGUCGGAAUCGCUAGUAAUCGUAGAUCAGAAUGCUACGGUGAAUACGUUCCCGGGCCUUGUACACACCGCCCGUCACACCAUGGGAGUGGGUUGCAAAAGAAGUAGGUAGCUUAACCUUCGGGAGGGCGCUUACCACUUUGUGAUUCAUGACUGGGGUGAAGUCGUAACAAGGUAACCGUAGGGGAACCUGCGGUUGGAUCACCUCCUUA